UGAGAUAUAAAAAGGUUUUAAGAAUGAAAGGAGAAGAUUUGGUGGAUACAACUGAAAAAAUAGACUCAACAAUAGGUUGUCUGCGAUAGACAUCAACCAAUAUGGUGUUCAACUGGUUGAAUAACACACGAAUGUAUUUUGGUAGAUUUGAUUGACUUGGAAACAGUCCCCAUAACCCAAUACCUGAUAGGUUGAUGUUGCAUUUCAUGCGCAAGAAAGAAUUCCAUGCAUUGUGUAGAUUUCGAUAUUAAGGGGUUAAAUUUGCACCUAUUAUGGCCAGUUCCCAACCAUCCAAAGAUUUUAGGUCAAAAAGAAAGAAGAUUAACCGAUGGAUUAAAAAGCAUCCAUUCGAAACAAAAGCAAAAGAGGUCUUCACCCAAAAACUUCCUCAUAUGCCAUUUGGAAUGAGAUUUUUAAAGAACUUCUUCUUGAAUUGGUUAGGUCUUUGUUCCUGAUGUCAUUAGAUAAUACCAGCAAUUAGAUAAUCGACUCAGCAGAUUAUAUGCUCCCAACAUAUUCCAUAGUUGUUAAACACAUCGGGAUCCAAUAAGUGAACCGCUCACUAGGAAGAGAUCGCCAGAAACAAUUACUAUUUUUUUUUUUGCCGUGAAACAGGGGAUUAGAUCCCUCCAACUCCACAGAGAUCUGGCCAUGCUCCCUAUAUUAAGCUUUAUUACCAACAAAAUAUACACCCUCGCGGUUAACAGAGGAUAAGCGCUGUCUAACAGAGCAUUUUUAGUCAAAAAAAA
Molecule: long non-coding RNA, 749 nt
Filed under: Phoenix dactylifera (date palm)
Lineage: Eukaryota; Viridiplantae; Streptophyta; Magnoliopsida; Arecales; Arecaceae
Description: long non-coding RNA (PDAC_LNC003508)
Source: RNAcentral